Sapajus apella (tufted capuchin) is the source of this 1517-nucleotide long non-coding RNA. RefSeq lists it as uncharacterized. NCBI's taxonomy places the organism in Eukaryota, Metazoa, Chordata, Mammalia, Primates, Cebidae. The transcript is spliced from 2 exons. The record is from RefSeq and is a predicted model, not a curated record.
GUCUCGGACGCCGUGGGCGCGCCUGGUAAGGUCCUGUCGUAUCCGCGUGGUUCCUGCCCGCUGCGGGAGGGGCUCUGGAGCGCCGGGACUACAGCUGAGACCCGUCGGGCCGGGCCAGGUCGCGGACGAGGUCGACUGUUUGUUUAAGAAGCGGGGACUUUUGUCCUGAGUGCACCGUCUUUCAGCCUGCGGGACGGUGGUGCGAUUUGCAUUAGAGAUUGGCAAAAAUGAUAUAGCGUGACGCUAUAAGGCAUUGGUGAGGCUAUAAGGAAAUAGCCCCGGCAUAAUCUGGAGGAAGUGUGCACAGACAUUUGGAUUCGUGAGGAUUAAUAAAGGAGCUGUUAGUGAAAACAAACAUGCUCAUCUCUUAUGAGCUAUGGAUUUCUCUUUUAGGAGGACCAAUGCUCACUUCUAAGUAAGCACUGGUACGUGUGUGUGCCAAGAAGAUACAUGAAGACAGACAUAUAAAAGAUGUUUAGUGCAACUUUAUUUUCAGCAGCAAAGAAGUGGAAAUGAUUUCAAUGUCCAUCAGUUAAAAAAAUGGAUCAAUAUGUAGUUUAUUCAUAUGAUGAAAUACUGUGCCACAGUUAUAAUGAAUGAGUUUGAUCUACAUUUUUUUGCUAGAGCUAAAAAACAUAAAUAUGUGCAAUAAUACGUGCAGUAUGAUAGUGUUUACUUAAGAUGUGCUUACAUAUUGUUUAUGGAUGCUUGUACAUAUAUACUUACACACAGAAUACAUAAAGCUAUAAACAAUCAAUCAAUGGAGGUACUCCAAACUCUUGCUAGUGUGAAGGGAAUGAGACUUUGUGUGGGGAUUAGAGUGGGCUUUGACUGUAUCUGAUAUUUUCUGUUAAUAAUAACAAAAUGACUAAAUGGAAAUAAAAUUUCAAUCUUGACUGUUGUUGACCCUCACAGUAGGAAUAUUGACGCUUGUCACAGUAAUAGACUUUGCACUGCUCUAUGUCUUUUAAACUUGUUUAAAUUCAAGACCUAAUCCAACAGUAAGUGCCAGAGUGCAUGUGAGCUGUGUUGUGCAUUGGAAAGUGAUACUCAUGCUUUCAACCCUGCGUGUAUUUGGCAACUCUCAAAUUUUCUUAGGAAUGUCUCAGGACCUGCUUGUCCUCAGUCCUAAAGAAGCACCUCCCCACUCCCACCCAGACAGUGGUGCUCCCACAGGUGUCUGAAGGAAAGGUCAGGCUUUUCCAAAAUAUGUUUUAAUGUCCCAAGGAGCUUGAGGCCACAGUCCCAGACCAAGCACCUGGAAGAGAGGACCAUCAUCAUGAACCUCCCAUGAGCACCUCUAUCCCAAGAACACAUUUCCAUGGCCUUGUGGAACACUGAAUCUUGAGCAGACUGCAACCUCUUGGAUUUGUCAUGGCAAGAUAUUUGAAAAUAUGCCCAUUCCUUUUCCUAAAUUUCAGGAGAGGUGUUAAUCUGUGUGUACUUUUAAAAUGGUGGUAUUUAUACUGGACUUUCUGUUUAGAAUUGGUAAUAAAUCUUGGAAUAUAACCCUGUGA